This 104-nucleotide transfer RNA is filed under the name Promethearchaeota archaeon. RNAcentral's name for it is "Candidatus Lokiarchaeota archaeon (marine sediment metagenome) tRNA-Phe". It matches the Rfam family "tRNA". From Rfam's summary of the family: Transfer RNA (tRNA) molecules are approximately 80 nucleotides in length. Their secondary structure includes four short double-helical elements and three loops (D, anti-codon, and T loops). The record is from RNAcentral. Lineage: Archaea; Promethearchaeati; Promethearchaeota.
GCCGCGAUAGCUUAGGUCGGGAGUUUAACACGUAUUUUAAUUAACCCGUAAGCGCUGGACUGAAGAUCCAGUUGUCGUGAGUUCAAAUCUCACUCGCGGCGCCA